UACGUAGGGAGCAAGCGUUGUUCGGACUUACUGGGCGUAAAGGGCGCGUAGGCGGCGCGGUAAGUCACUUGUGAAAUCUCUGAGCUUAACUCAGAGCGGCCAAGUGAUACUGCAGUGCUAGAGUGCAGAAGGGGCAAUCGGAAUUCCUGGUGUAGCAGUGAAAUGCGUAGAUAUCAAGAGGAACACCUGAGGUGAAGACGGGUUGCUGGGCUGACACUGACGCUGAGGAGCGAAAGCGUGGGGAGCGAACAGG
RNAcentral lists this ribosomal RNA (253 nucleotides) under uncultured bacterium. RNAcentral describes it as "partial 16S ribosomal RNA". It matches the Rfam family "Bacterial small subunit ribosomal RNA", at positions 524 to 776 of the family's 1533-position model. The record is from RNAcentral.